UUUCAUUAAAGUAUAAAAAUAUAUUAAGUUUAGAACUUAAAGAAAAAAAUGAAAA
This 55-nucleotide transfer RNA is filed under the name Tetranychus ludeni (bean spider mite). RNAcentral describes it as "tRNA-Leu". The record is from RNAcentral. Lineage: Eukaryota; Metazoa; Arthropoda; Arachnida; Trombidiformes; Tetranychidae.